UACGUAGGGUGCAAGCGUUGUCCGGAAUUAUUGGGCGUAAAGAGCUCGUAGGCGGUCUGUUGCGUCCGCUGUGAAAACUCGGGGCUUAACCCCGAGCCUGCAGUGGAUACGGGCAGACUAGAGGUAGGUAGGGGAGACUGGAAUUCCUGGUGUAGCGGUGAAAUGCGCAGAUAUCAGGAGGAACACCGGUGGCGAAGGCGGGUCUCUGGGCCGAUAUUGACGCUGAGGAGCGAAAGCGUGGGGAGCGAACAGG
Molecule: ribosomal RNA, 253 nt
Filed under: uncultured bacterium
Lineage: Bacteria
Description: partial 16S ribosomal RNA
Rfam family: Bacterial small subunit ribosomal RNA
Source: RNAcentral